RNAcentral lists this long non-coding RNA (956 nucleotides) under Amborella trichopoda. Its description in RNAcentral is "long non-coding RNA (ATRI_LNC001346)". Lineage: Eukaryota; Viridiplantae; Streptophyta; Magnoliopsida; Amborellales; Amborellaceae. The record is from RNAcentral.
GGUGCUCUAUCUCUCUAUAAUUGGUUCACUCUCUAACACACACUAAACUGGUGCUCUCUCUCUAUAAUUGGUUCUCUCUCCACCAUACACAAAAAUCUCUCUCUAACGCGCACACAAUAAAAUCUCUCUCUUUUUUGACACUCUCUCUCUCUCUGACCCAUACACACACUAAAAGAUAGGAAUUCGGUGGAGAUGGGGAAUUGAUACAGUUUUCUUUCUCUUCUCCAGAGCAGGCUUAACAUCAGAACCUUAUGCUUAUCCUGAUUAUCAAAGGAAUCUAUCGAAUUAUGGAGGUGCUUUCAUGGAGCACCAAUCCUCUCUCCCUUCAAACAUAACUAGAAACCUUCUACAACAAACAAAUGAGGUAAUUCCCUCAUAUUUAUCACUUCAUCACAUAACCCUAUUUCUUAGUCUGUUUUAUUUUUAUUAAUGUCAAUUCUUAUCUUUUCUGAUCAUUUUAUCAGGAUUCGGUGCCAAAGAGGCGACGAGGCGGUUCAAUUGGAUCGAGUAGCCGCAACUCGGAUUCUGGGGAUGAGAGAGAAGUGGAUCUUGAUCUUAAACUUUCUCUCUAGGUCUUCAUCUCUCUCUCUCUCUCUCUCUCUCUCUCUCUCUCUCUCAAGGUUCAAGCUGGUGCAAUUGGGUUGAUCAAAUGGUUGUAGAUUUUUAGCUAUGCCCAAUCCACCAGUAUGUACUGAUGAUAAAAAUGUAGAGUUGCACUGUGUGCAUGGGUCAUCAGUGCCAUGAGAAGAUAAGAAUAGAUGUUCAAGUGGUUAGGGUUUACAUAUAGCAAUCAAAUGAAAACUGAGCAUCGUACGAGUUUGAUUUUGUAUUGCCUUCACCCUUAUUCUAUAUAAUUGAUAUGAGCAGCAAGAAUGAAAUCUGUCACGGGAGGAAAGAACAGUAAAAAGGUGUCGUGCAAUCUCUCUCUCUCUCUCUCUCUCUCUCUCUCUCUCUCU